ACCAAUCCAACAAUAUGAAUCGCGCAUCAGAAGGAAAAACGGAUUUUCCUUAAGUGGCCCUGAUCAGACACCUCCCAUUGCCCCACAUAAACACAAACAAAUGACCAAGAUUAAAUGGAGAGAGGUAUUUAAACCUCUCUUUAGUCGGCCUCUCAAACCCUAGCCGACACAGCCGACUGGAGAAAAAGCAGCAAGGGACGUCAGAGAUAGUUCAGGUGGUAGAGCAAUAAUGACACCACUGUGCUGGAGGUCAAAACCAACACUGUCCAAGAAAGCUGCAAGCUGAGAGGGAGGAGGCAUGUGUCUGUGAUCGAAAGCCGAACCAGAUUUCAAUAAGUUUGUUCGCGUUCCUUCGCUUCAUUUUCCUUCUUUUAUGCACUAACGGAGUGAUUCUCGUUCAUGUUAAACCAAAAAAAAAAAGAAAAAAUAAAAGGAAAUAG
Molecule: long non-coding RNA, 440 nt
Organism: Carica papaya (papaya)
Lineage: Eukaryota; Viridiplantae; Streptophyta; Magnoliopsida; Brassicales; Caricaceae
Source: RefSeq, a predicted model, not a curated record